RNA transcript from Solanum pennellii, 1848 nucleotides. It is a transcript of the gene named GATA transcription factor 19-like, with no coding region annotated. The transcript is spliced from 11 exons. Lineage: Eukaryota; Viridiplantae; Streptophyta; Magnoliopsida; Solanales; Solanaceae. The record is from RefSeq and is a predicted model, not a curated record.
ACUUUCCUCGUCAUCCUUGUUAUCACCAUUCUCCGUCUCUCUUAAAGAUCAAACAAAACUCUCUGUAUCUAAAUUUGAUCAUGAAGUUCGAAGGAGAAAUUCAUCGCAAUUCAACUCAGGAGUUCAUAUUUCGCUAAAAAAACGAAGAAAUUUGGAUAUUUUUUUGAUUGUGUAAAGUGAUUUUUGUUAUGAAAUUAGCGUGAUUUUGAAGGAUUAGGUUAACGAUUUCAUGGUGUUUAUAUAGUAGAUAAGAGUAUCAUGAUGGCGGAGAAUCCACGGCCACUGCAGGCGCGUCCGUAUGAGGAUCACGCGCCGCUGCAGUCUCUACGGAUGGUGGAGGAGGAAGAGGAGGAGGAGGAGGGCGAUGAAGACGGCGCAUAUGAGGAUGAUGGAGGGGAAGAGACUAUGGAUGAGGCGGAGGAUGUAAGCAUGAAGGUAUUGAAUCACCAUCAAUAUGGAGGACAGAGCCAACAGUUGUGUGGAGGUGGAGUUGUGGAAGUUUCUAGAACAAGUGAGCUUACUCUUGCUUUUGAAGGUGAAGUCUAUGUUUUUCCUGCAGUCACUCCUGAUAAGGUGCAAGCGGUGCUCUUACUAUUGGGGGGGUGCGACAUUCCUACUGCUGUGCCCACUGUUGAACUUCCAUUCGACAACAAGGUAGAGGAUUUGCCAAAGCAAGCUAAUCUUUCGAAAAGAUUUGCCUCCUUGGUUAGGUUCCGAGAGAAGCGGAAGGAGAGAUGUUUUGACAAAAAAAUUAGAUAUAGUGUCAGGAAAGAGGUUGCUCAAAGGAUGCAUAGGAAAAAUGGUCAAUUUGCAUCUUUGAAAUCAAAUUCUGGAUCUUCUAGCUGCGAUUCAGCCAAGAGUAGCCUUGAAGGAGAUGGCACACAACAUUCUGUAAUUGUUCCUGGAAAGUGUCACCAUUGUGGUGUGAGUGAAAAUUGUACGCCAGCGAUGCGUCGUGGGCCAGAUGGACCAAGGACACUCUGCAAUGCAUGUGGACUUAAGUGGGCAAACAAGGGAACAUUGAGAGAUCUAAGCAAGGCAGGGAGGAAAAUAUCUGUUGAACCAAACGAACUGGUGGAAUCUGCUCCAUUGCCAGGAUGGACAUAUAUGGAGGCACUUUAUUACAAAAUACUCCAAAAAUAUGAGCUUAAUCAUCUCUCAGGCAUCUUAUGUUACAUGCAGGGAACUCCUAACAAUCCCGUGAAGGCAUUUGCUGAAGGAUCCCUUGAUCAUUGUGCUGAUGUGGAAAAGAAUCUAUUCAGCUCUGGUAGCAAUCUUGCAAAUGAUAUUCCUGCGGGUAUCAUUAGUUCUUCGAACAAUCUUGUUGAGCAGGAAACUCUAGUUGAUUUUGGAAACGCUUCGAAAACUGAGCUCGUCAUUCCUGCAAACUUUGACUAGUUGACUGCCUGUAAAUUGUUGUUGUAACAUACCCACUUGAAGUUAACAUUUCCUUUCUGGAGAGACGCUACUAUUUCAAACUGACCCUGUUAAAUUUGGGAUGGUUGCUGUUGAUGUGUGAAAUUUGAUGCCUGUAGAUGACUUCUCUGUGGACGAGCAUGAUUUUGACCCAGGUUUUUUAUACCAUUAUUACGCCCCAUACAAAAUGGAUUACUUAUUUGUGUAAACAUAGAAAAUGACUAACCAAAUACUUACAAUUAAUGCUGAAUUUUGUACAAAUAUCGAUUAACUAGACACCUUUUUUAAGCUAAAAGACCUAAAGGGAUUACUCAAUAGUUUUAUAUGCCAAAAGUGGUUGUCAGAGGUAGGAUGUGUGACCGUCAAUUUCUCUGAUGGACUUCAGUGGUUGUUUGCUCAUUUUUUUCUUCAAGGAAUUUGCAUUUGCUAUUA